ACUCAGGCGCGUGCCCGCGUCGACCGAAUGCUUUGUUUUCUUUCCUCUGUUUACCUAAACGCAGAUUCCCGGUCGGAAUAUUAUCGCUUUUUUACGAGAAAAAUGGCAUAAAAAUUGAUUUUAAACAGCGGUUGACAUUCGGAGUACGGUAAUGGAAUAUUUAGAAUUUUUUUGUCACGAAUUGCGCCAUGCUCGUGACCCUUAUUUACACUUCGGAUAGUGUCUGGAACGCACGAACAUAACGCCGCUAUUUGGAUAUAACGAUGGAUUAUUUUGGACCAAACCAACAUUUGUUAUUGAAGUAGCAGUCCUGGGAGUGCAUUCUGACGAAGACAACAAAGUGAAUGGAGGACAUCAGACUGGACACAGAAUUCAACCUACAGCUGCAGUCAGUGCUGUGGUUCAUCAGAAAUGGGUGGCCUGAAUCGAUAAGAGACUUAUCAGGUGAGAGGGGAACUAUCAGAGACGCAUUCGCUAGUGAUCAGGCGAAAGCCCAUAGUCAUUCCCACAUGCAUGAGGAAAGAAGUCCUACAUAGGAUUCAUGAUGGACACCAUGGGCUGGUUAAGUGCAGGGAGAGAGCUAACCAGUCAGUGUGGUGGCCUAAAAUCUCACAGGAGAUUAUCACAGAGGUGCAAAUGUGUGCAUUUUGCUGUGAAACUAAGAGCACACAGAGAAAAGAGUGAUUAAUGUUCAGUGAGCUUCCCUCCAGACCAUGGCAGAAAAUAACAACAGAGCUGUGUGAGUACAAAAAUAAAAACUACUUAAUCCUCCACCUUCCAACCAUGAGCAAUAGCCAGGUCAUAGCGAAGCUCAAAGCAACCUUUGCUAGCUUCGGAGAUCCUGGUUAGCGAUAAUGGCCCCCAGUUGGCAAGUACAGAGCUAAAAGAACUCAGUAAGGAGCAUGACUUCAUAAAUGUGACAAGCAGCCCCCACUUCCCACAGAGUAAUGGACAUGUGGAGACAUACCGUUGAUAAACAAUGUUUUAUUGAAAGGGGGGGAAGAUGUGAUGCAUGUGUUAAUUCAUGUUGUUUAUUGUGCGCAUGCGCUAGAGCAUGUGGGCAGUUA
RNAcentral lists this long non-coding RNA (1067 nucleotides) under Salmo salar (Atlantic salmon). RNAcentral describes it as "lncRNA (ENSSSAG00000108508.1)". The record is from RNAcentral. Lineage: Eukaryota; Metazoa; Chordata; Actinopteri; Salmoniformes; Salmonidae.